GANGGGGGCUAUCAUGCAGUCGAACGCGUCUCCGUUNAUGAUUUUAGGUGCUUGCACUUGAAAGAUUUAACAUUGAGACGAGUGGCGAACUGGUGAGUAACACGUGGGUAACCUGCCCUUGAAGUAGGGGAUAACACUUGGAAACAGGUGCUAAUACCGUAUAACAACCAAAACCACCUGGUUUUGGUUUAAAAGACGGCUUCGGCUGUCACUUUAGGAUGGACCCGCGGCGUAUUAGCUUGUUGGUAAGGUAACGGCCUACCAAGGCGAUGAUACGUAGCCGACCUGAGAGGGUAAUCGGCCACAUUGGGACUGAGACACGGCCCAAACUCCUACGGGAGGGCAGCAGUAAA
Molecule: ribosomal RNA, 353 nt
Filed under: Lentilactobacillus buchneri
Lineage: Bacteria; Bacillati; Bacillota; Bacilli; Lactobacillales; Lactobacillaceae
Description: bacterial SSU rRNA
Rfam family: Bacterial small subunit ribosomal RNA
Source: RNAcentral